RNAcentral lists this ribosomal RNA (119 nucleotides) under Pteropus alecto (black flying fox). The record is from RNAcentral. Lineage: Eukaryota; Metazoa; Chordata; Mammalia; Chiroptera; Pteropodidae.
GUCUACAGCCAUGCCAUCCUGAACUUGUCCGAUCUUGUCCGACCUCGGAAGCUAAGCAAGGUCAGGCCUGGUUAGUACUUGGAUGGGAGACCACCUAGGAAGAUCAGGUGCUGUAGGCA